Molecule: ribosomal RNA, 2605 nt
Filed under: marine sediment metagenome
Description: bacterial LSU rRNA
Rfam family: Archaeal large subunit ribosomal RNA
Source: RNAcentral
UUGAGCCAGUGUUACGCCAUUUGGUGGAUUGCUCGGCUCGGGCGCCGAAGAAGGUCGUGCCAAGCUGCGAUAUGCUCCGGGAAGGCGCAAGGAGCCUUUGAACCGGAGAUCGCCGAAUAGGACUUCCUGCCAUGGUAAACCCAUGGCGGUCCCAUUAGGGAUCGGGAACCCGCCGGAUUGAAACAUCUUAGUAGGCGGAGGAAAAGAAAUCAAAUAGAGAUUGGGUUAGUAAAGGCGAUCGAACACCCAACAGAGCAAACCGAAUCCUCAAGCGAAGAGUUUGAGGAGAUGUGGAGUUUGGACUCAUUUACUUCCUAACUGACGAACUCGAAGUCCCCUGGAACGGGGCGCCUGAGAGGGUGAUAGCCCCGUAGAGGUAAGUCAGUGGAAGAUUUUUGAGUAUCCAGAGUAGCGUGCGUUGGAUAUCGCGCGUGAAGAUGGGAGGUACAAACUUCCAACUCUAAAUACGUCCCGAGACCGAUAGCGCAGUAGUAGCGUGAGCGAAAGCUGCAAAGUACCCCUAGCGGGAGGUGCAAAGAGCAUGAAACCAAAUGGUUACAGACUGAUAAGGCGUGGAAGCGACGAAACCACUUCUGUGGUGGAGCAGCGUCUUAUCGUCCGUUUCGAAUAACGGGCCAGGGAGUUCUUGGUAAUGGCGAGGCUAAGAGCGAAGAGCUCGGAGCCGUAGCGAAAGCAACGGUCCGCAGGCAACGAGGGACGGGGUGUGCUCGCCCGGAGUCAUUACCAAGAGACCCGAAGCCGGUCGAUCUAUGCGUGGCCAGGUUGAAGCCUAGCGAAAGCUGGGUGGAGGACCGAACCGGUGCUGAUGUGCAAAUCGUUCGGAUGAGCUGCGUAUAGGGGCAAAAGACCAAUCUAGACCGGCGAUAGCUGGUUCCCCCCGAGACUGCCCGCAGGCAGACCUCUGAGGAGAUUGGUCGUGCGGUAGAGCACUGAUUGGGUGUUUAGGGGGAGAAAUCCCUCGGCAUCCUGUCAAACUCCGAAUGUGCGACCAUCGUAGAAUCAGGGAGUGAGGGCACCUGGGGUAAGCUUGGUGUCCGAAAGGGGAACAACCCAGCCUUACGUUAAGGUCCCUAAGUACCAGCUAAGUGUUAAAGAACAAAGAGUGUGCGUAGCCUAAGACAGCCAGGAGGUUGGCUUAGAAGCAGCCAUCCUUUAAAGAAAGCGUAACAGCUCACUGGUCGAGGCUACGUGCCUCGAAAAUGGACGGGGCUAAGCUGGUCACCGAUACGUAAGCACUCCGAAAGGAGAUUGAGUAGGGGGGCGUCGUGCGUGGGUGGAAGCACGGCCGUGAGGUCGUGUGGACCGCGUUCGAACGAGGAUCCUGGCAAAAGUAGCAGCAAAGUCGGGUGAGAAUCCCGACCACCGAAGGGGCUAGGGUUCCACGGCGAUGUUCAUCAGCCGUGGGUUAGUCGGUCCUAAGGCCUGUCUUAACCGAACAGGUCGAAAGGGAAGCAGGUUAAUAUUCCUGCACUUCGUAGAGAUUUGCCAACGCUCUGACGCAUUUGGGUAGGUCUAGCAGGUUCGUCUGCCUGUCCAAGCGUAUUAAGUCAGGGGAGAACCGUCAUGGUGAGAACCUGAUCAAAGCGUGAUGGGCCUGCCGUUUUUUAGGCGGGUUAGGCUGAUCCCAAGUGCCCAGGAAAAGGAGCGUUGGAUGUACUCUACGAAACCGUACCGAGAACUGACACAGGUGCCCCUAGCCGAGAAGGCUAAGGUGUGUCGGCUUUAAUCCAGGCGAGGGAACUCGGCAAAUUAGCCCCGUAACUUUGGGAGAAGGGGUGCCUGCUCCGCGAAAGAGCAGGUCGCAGUGACAAGGGGGCUCCGACUGUUUAAUAAAAACACAGGUGACCGCAAGUCCGAAAGGAUGUGUAUGGUCACCGAAUCCUGCCCAGUGGCGGUAUCUGAAAGCCGGGUUCAACCGGACGAAGGACCGCUAAACGGCGGGGGUAACUCUGACCCUCUUAAGGUAGCGUAAUACCUAGCCGCUUAAUUGGCGGCUUGCAUGAGUGGCCCAACGAGAGCCCUACUGUCCCCGCCUGGAGCCCGGUGAAAUUGACUUACUGGCGCACAGUCCAGUACCGUCCAGAAGGAAGCGAAGACCCCGUGGAGCUUUACUGCAGCCUGCCGUUGUGAUACGGUAUUGGAUGUGAAGCGUAGAUGGGAGCCGUCGAAGCUGGGGCGCUAGCUCCAGUGGAGGCGCCAAUGGGACACCAUCCUUCCUUUACCGCAUCACUAACUCGAAAGAGGACACCGGUAGGUGGGCAGUUUGGGUGGGGCGCCACGCCCUCGAAAAGGUAUCAAGGGCGCCCAAAGGUCGCCUCAGGGAGGUCAGAAAUCUCCCGUAGAGUGCAAGGGCAAAAGGCGGCCUUACAUGGAUUGGAACAACAACAAUCCAUGUUGCGAAAGCAAGGCCUAGCGAACCAAUCAACCCUAUUUGUAGGGGUGGUUGAUAACAGAAAAGUUACCCCGGGGAUAACUGAGUUGUCUCCUGCAAGAGCCCACAUCGACCAGGAGGCUUGCUACUUCGAUGUCGUCUCUCCCUAUCCUGGCGGUGCAGCAGCUGCCAAGGGUGGGGCUGUUCGCCCAU